AGUAGUCACCCAAAAGGACAAGGAGAAGAUGAGAGACAUGGAGAAGAGGAGAUACAUGAGGUUGUUACUCCCACACAUGCGGACUCGAGGGAGGUUGAUAAUCCAACACCCCAUGAAUUUCCAGAUUUAGAGGUAGAGACCGAGUGUAC
Chenopodium quinoa (quinoa) is the source of this 149-nucleotide long non-coding RNA. RefSeq lists it as uncharacterized. Lineage: Eukaryota; Viridiplantae; Streptophyta; Magnoliopsida; Caryophyllales; Amaranthaceae. The record is from RefSeq and is a predicted model, not a curated record. The transcript is spliced from 3 exons.